Fundulus heteroclitus (mummichog) is the source of this 658-nucleotide long non-coding RNA. RefSeq lists it as uncharacterized. The record is from RefSeq and is a predicted model, not a curated record. The transcript is spliced from 4 exons. NCBI's taxonomy places the organism in Eukaryota, Metazoa, Chordata, Actinopteri, Cyprinodontiformes, Fundulidae.
AACUGAAACUAAUGUGAACUGAGGAGCUGAGGGGUUCAGUGAUUACGUAUCUAGGUGCAACUCAACAUGUAUAAAAAGAACUAGCAGCAGAUCAAGAUGAAGAAUAAAAAUACAGUUUAAUCAGACUGCUAUGUUUACUCAAUGAUUUGGUUCUGGCUCACAGUCUUACCUGCUGGCUUAAUCUGACGGCCAGUUCUGGAGACUGCAUGACCAAUGGAUUCAACAGAUCACCAGAUUCUCUUGACUAAACUGUGCGGGUCUUUGCAGCUCCUCCAGGGUGUCAUGGGCCACUUGGGUGCUUCUCUAAUUAAUGCCCCAAGUUGUGUGAUAUUUUCUCCAUUUUCAUAUAAUGAAGUGAACAGCCCCAUGUCCCUGUACGAGGAAGUGUGUCAGACAAUGAAUGAAUGGAUCGAACAGUGCUUGAUGAGAUGUUCAAGGUUUGAGAAAUGGUCUUGUAAGUUUUGUUUUCGUGAAGCAGUUCAUUUACUAAUGUCCUUCUGACAAAUCUCACAGGCCCUCACGAAAAGGAUGGCAAGGAUUAGGUAAAUAACUAAUUAGGUGAUUACUCAAUAUGACAGGUAGAACUGAAUUUUAUUUAUGCAUAUUAGAGCAUACACAACAGGUGUCACACUUUUAAGAUUUCCAUUUGUAAAACAAA